GCUUAACACAUGCAAGUCGUACGAGAAAUCUUCAGCUUGCUGAAGAGAGUAAAGUGGCGCACGGGUGAGUAACGCGUGGGUAAUCUAUCCUUGAAUCGGGGAUAACAUUGCGAAAGCGAUGCUAAUACCGGAUGACAUCAUAAAGGCCUCGGCCUUAAUGAUCAAAGAUGACCUCUACCUGUAAGUUGUUGUUUGAGGAGGAGCCCGCGUACCAUUAGCUUGUUGGUAGGGUAACGGCCUACCAAGGCCACGAUGGUUAGCUGGUCUGAGAGGAUGAUCAGCCACACUGGAACUGACACACGGUCCAGACUCCUACGGGAGGCAGCAGUGAGGAAUUUUGCGCAAUGGGGGAAACCCUGACGCAGCAACGCCGCGUGAGUGAUGAAGGCUUUAGGGUCGUAAAGCUCUGUCAAGUGGGAAGAAGCUAUCCGGUAGUAAUAUGCCCGGGUAUUGACGGUACCACUGAAGGAAGCACCGGCUAACUCCGUG
RNAcentral lists this ribosomal RNA (489 nucleotides) under uncultured bacterium. Its description in RNAcentral is "bacterial SSU rRNA". It matches the Rfam family "Bacterial small subunit ribosomal RNA", at positions 46 to 507 of the family's 1533-position model. The record is from RNAcentral.